CCUUCCUUUGUUUGUUUCUUGAGGUAAUAUGAGAAUCCGGUUUUUGCGGUUUGGUUUUGAGCCGGUAGAGAGCAAACCAAGUAGAUAUUGGAAUUACAUUAAUUUAUUUAAUGAAACUGUGGAAGUUGACGGUCACGCGCCAUAUAUAUAAAGCUUCUGUUUAUAUAGUGUAUGGUCGCGGUUGUUCAAAGAAGAGACUAAACAUGAUGAACAAAAGGUUUGGGGGGAAGAUACCGACCGGAACUCCGUCACUAGCGUUGUCAACCGUCGUCGUUGUAGCCUCACUUCUCGGUGGAGCCUCCGUCGUCCACAAUUUAUACAAGCCAGAUCUCAGAUUACCUCAGAUGGAAGGUGAUGAAGCUGCAGACAAGAAGAAAGAAUCUGGAAACAAAGAUUAAAAAUCUUUUUCUGAUUAGUUACAUUUCUUAUUUAUGGUUUCCCAAUCUCCUCUCGGUUCGAGUGUUAUGAACUUAAGACACUGUGUUUGUAAUGAAUAAGUCAACUCGCUGGUCAAGUA
Molecule: long non-coding RNA, 517 nt
Organism: Raphanus sativus (radish)
Lineage: Eukaryota; Viridiplantae; Streptophyta; Magnoliopsida; Brassicales; Brassicaceae
Exons: 2
Source: RefSeq, a predicted model, not a curated record